AUAGAUCUGGUGAGAGAGAGAAAAUGUAGCCAAACGUUAAAAACUGGUGAAUCUAGGUGAAAGGUGUGUAGGUGUUCAUUAUAUAUUGUAUUGUUUCUGUAAUUUUUCCCCAGGUUACAGAUUUUUCCAAAUAAAAUAUUGAUGAGAAGUGAAAAAAUUAAGCUACAGCCUAAUAAAAAUCUAAAAUUUAACUUCCCCAUCAAUAAUACAGAAUGAGCAGUGCAAAAGAAAAAAGUUGGUGUAAAUAUGAGGUCAUUAUUGCUAGGUUAAUUAAAUGAGGCGAGUUUAGCAGCCAGAGCCGCAAGAUCCGAAUCUGUUCAAGUCUGAGCGCUGCAGUUGGCGCCACCUGGCGGCAGUUGUCUGCUUCGGCUUAAAUAAGGAUGGUGAUUGUUCUGGCUCCUAUCGGAAGUGAUGCCAAGGAUCUCCAGGGUUGCGAGUCGUGGGCAAGGAUGGAGAUUAGAGUCAUCUGGGUCCAGUCCACAUGGGAAGCAGAGGCUGCCUGGCUGUGACAGUGGCAGCAGGCUUAGCUGCUCCCUGCCUGCAACAAAGUCCCUGGCUACGGGGAACCUAACAUCCAUCCGUUCAAUGGAGAAGUAUUUGGAAGAGUUUGAUGCAGUUCCGGGUGUCAAAUCAUGGCGCAGACGUGGACGUCAUUUAGCCAGUCACAUGAAAGGAUUGUGACGAACCUCCAAACAGAGUCUGUGCUGAUAGCCAUCAUCAAUGACAACUGAAAGAUCUGGUGUGGCGACUCCCAGUCUGUAACACCAGAGGGUCAACAUUCCUAACCCCCUUCCCUAUAACCUACUGGCCUAUAUAACUGCUUCAAGAUUCUGUGCCCUCCUUAAGAUGGUUCUUUUGGACAUUAGUUGGCCAUCUUCCCUCUUGCUAGCAAGCUAUAAUAAAA
RNAcentral lists this long non-coding RNA (904 nucleotides) under Equus asinus (donkey). RNAcentral's name for it is "lncRNA (ENSEASG00005035926.1)". Lineage: Eukaryota; Metazoa; Chordata; Mammalia; Perissodactyla; Equidae. The record is from RNAcentral.